This 497-nucleotide ribosomal RNA is filed under the name uncultured bacterium. Its description in RNAcentral is "partial 16S ribosomal RNA". It matches the Rfam family "Bacterial small subunit ribosomal RNA", at positions 28 to 507 of the family's 1533-position model. The record is from RNAcentral.
GAUGAACGCUGGCGGCGUGCCUAAUACAUGCAAGUCGAGCGAACAGACGAGGACCUUCCUCCUCAGUCGUUAGCGGCAGACGUGUGAGUAACACGUGGAUAACCUCCUUAUCACACUGGGAUAACUUCGGGAAACCGGAGCUAAUACCGGAGAAUAUAUUGAACCGCAUGGUUCAAGAGAGAAAGACGGUUUUGCUGUCACUCAUAGAUGGACCCCCUGCGCAUUAGCUAGUUGGUAAGGUAACGGCUUACCAAGGCGGCGCUUGGUAGCCGACGCGAGCGAGUGGUCGGCGACACUGGAACUGAGACACGGUCAAUACUCCUGCGAGAGGGAGCAGAAGGGAAUCUUCGGCAGUGGGCGAGAGCCUGACGGAGCAACGGCGCGUGAGAUGUGAAGAUGUUCGGAGCGUAAUGCUCUGUUAUUAGUGAAGAACAACUGUGGACGGGGCUGUACACUUUUUGACGGUACCUGAACAGAAAGCCACGGCUAACUACGUG